GGUUCCAUAGUGUAAUGGCUAUCACUCCAGACUCUGACACAAUUAUUUUAGGUUCCGCAUAAUAAUCAAACACGUAGAACCGAAAAUAACCUUGAAGAUAUCUGGCAAUCUGGGUUCGAAUCCCGGUGGGACCU
This 134-nucleotide transfer RNA is filed under the name Euroglyphus maynei. It matches the Rfam family "tRNA". Rfam says of the family: Transfer RNA (tRNA) molecules are approximately 80 nucleotides in length. Lineage: Eukaryota; Metazoa; Arthropoda; Arachnida; Sarcoptiformes; Pyroglyphidae. The record is from Rfam by way of RNAcentral.